Molecule: long non-coding RNA, 1872 nt
Organism: Ctenopharyngodon idella (grass carp)
Lineage: Eukaryota; Metazoa; Chordata; Actinopteri; Cypriniformes; Xenocyprididae
Exons: 3
Source: RefSeq, a predicted model, not a curated record
UUUAUUUUGAAGUAGCGUUGUGACGUCAUAAGACCGCGGCACGCUGGGCGUUUGUUGUGAAUCGGCUGAAGAAAGCUGACAUCCACGUGACACACUAUUAUAAAGAUGGCGUUUAUUAAAGAGGAGAGUGAAGACAUAAAGAUUGAAGAAGUGUUCAGCGUGAAACAUGAAGAUACUGAGGAACAAACAGACCUGAUGCAGCUGAAAGAGGAGAGUCAAGAACUGGAGGAAUUUGAAGUGAAACAUCAUUAUGAGAAACAUCAUGAUUUCAAAACAGAAGAAAAAUCUUUUAGUUGCUCAAUGACAAAAAUGGUUCCCUCACAAAAAAAGACUGAAGUUCUGAAGACAGAAACUAGUAGUGAUUUCACCUGCCAACAGUGUGGAAAAUGUUUCGGUCGAAAACAAAACCUUACAAUCCACAUGAGAAUUUACAAUGGAGAGAAGCCUUUCACCUGCCAGCAGUGUGGAAAGAGUUUCAGUCAAAAAUCAAGCCUUAAUGGCCACAUGAAAAUUCACUCUGGAGAGAAAUCUUUCACCUGCAAUCUGUGUGGGAAGAGCUUCUCACUAAAAGGAAAUCUACAGAUUCACAUGAGAAUCCACACUGGAGAGAAGCCGUUCACAUGUGAUCAAUGUGGAAAGAGUUUCAGAUGUAAAUUAAUUCUUAAAACCCACAUAAGCACUCACUCAAGAGAGAAAUGUUUUAUAUGUCAUCAAUGUGGAAGGAGCUACACAUACAGUAAACGUCUUAAGAAUCAUGUAAUAACUCACGUUGGAGAUACGCCUUUCAUGUGCCUUUACUGUGGAAUGACAUGCUUAAGCAAAGCAAGCCUUGAGGUUCACAUAACAAGUCACACUGAAGAGCCUUUCACAUGUCUUUAGUGUGACACGAGUUUCACAAAUGAAACAGACAUGAAACAUCAUUUAAAAACUCAUUCUGGAAAGAAACUUUAAUGUUCUCAAAAAAAUUCUUUUGCCAUCACACUUGCAGAUACACCUAAGACCCUGUUUCCACCUGGUAUUAAGAUGUGUUUCGGUCAAUCCAGGUGUAAACAUACCCGUUUACACCUGGUAUUUUAAUCCAUCUCUUUUGUCCACUUUCAACCACUUCUGUCCUGAUUUCUUCUAGGGGAGGGUCUAUGGGUGGGUAAAUGUAUGGGUUUUUUUCAGAUCUUUCGAUCUAAUGGGCAAAAUAAGUUUGCGCAAUUUACAUAUGAAUGUAUGGAGCUCAUCAGCUUUUGUUUCUGCUCUGACAGAUGCAAAAUAACGUUGAACGCGGUGAGUGUGUGCUAGAAAUCAGGAAUGGUGAGAGAACAUUGUGCUUGGAUUUUUUGUCUCUGAACCAGACUUGGUUCUGCAGCCAACAAAGUUUAAAUCCCAUCUAGCUACCACACUUUGCAUAAUUUACGCAUUAAGCCAGUAGGCAGAGGUAGGUGGUCUUUUUUUGUCUGUUUGAGCACAUUCGUCCACACAAGGGUUUCCACUACAAAAGCAAUCCGGUCAAAUGCGUUUUCGACUACCUCUGAAAGUGGGCGAAAAUGGACAAGCUUAAAACGUUUUUCACCCUGUUUACACCUGUAUUUAACGUUGUCCGCUUGUGAUCCGAUCAACCAAAACGCACCUUAAUACCAGGUGGAAACGGCCUAAAAAUUAUGCAGAUGUGAGACCCUGUUUUUGUGUGGAAAGUGUUUUAAAUGGCUCUGCAAUUUUAAAUGCCACCAGCAAAUAUCUGUGAAAUUAGUUUUGGUUUCAUUUAUUUGAGUCAGUUCAAUACUUCACAAUAAAAAUGUUAGAUAAACUUCUGUCUUGGUGUGAAAUGCAACAAUGUAAAUGAAAAAAUAUGAAUAAAAGGACAAACUGAAUUAAAAAAAUGAA